GCUUUUACGUGUCAUGAUCAAGGAUCAUCCUGCUUGUGUUUUGCUCCUCAACAUCAAUUGUUGAUAUCAUGUGGGAAAAAAAGGGGACAUAUGUAUUUUCGAUGUAAGACAAAGGACUCUUAAGCAUCGAUUCCAGAUUGUGUAAUCGAUGAUAUGGACUUGCGUGAACAAUCAACAAGCAAAAGGCUUCGUGCUCCAACCCCAAAUCAUACAACAACUGAAAAAGAAGAUUAUGAGCCUUGGGAGCACUACACAUAAAUGCAGUUGAAAACGCCUAAAAACAAAAAGCUGUGCACUGAAAGUGUAAACAGAAAACACACAAGUUAGGCAAAGCUAGCAGAAAUAAAGUCUAAAUGGACGGAAAGAAAAGUGGAAGAAGAAGUGGAAUUUGCGAAAAUCGAGAACACUUUACGUAUUACCCAAUUGAAAGAAGUACAGUGUGGCGACGAAUAACUGUUACCCAGGUUUUUUUGAGAA
This 477-nucleotide long non-coding RNA is filed under the name Rhagoletis pomonella (apple maggot). Its description in RNAcentral is "uncharacterized LOC118750810". The record is from RNAcentral. Lineage: Eukaryota; Metazoa; Arthropoda; Insecta; Diptera; Tephritidae.